This 505-nucleotide ribosomal RNA is filed under the name uncultured bacterium. Its description in RNAcentral is "partial 16S ribosomal RNA". It matches the Rfam family "Bacterial small subunit ribosomal RNA", at positions 28 to 523 of the family's 1533-position model. The record is from RNAcentral.
GAUGAACGCUAGCGGCAGGCCUACACAUGCAAGUCGAGGGGCAGCACAUAAAGUGGUUUACUACUUUUGGUGGCGACCGGCGGACGGGUGCGUAACGCGUAUGCAACCUGCCUCCAACAGGGGGAUAACGGAGAGAAAUUUCCACUCAUACCCCAUAAUAUCAGAAUCGGCAUCGGUUUUGGUUGAAAACUCCGGUGGUUGGAGAUGGGCAUGCGUUGUAUUAGAUAGUUGGUGAGGUAACGGCUCACCAAGUCAACGAUACAUAGGGGGACUGAGAGGUUAUCCCACCCGACUGGUACGGCGACACGGACCUGACUCCUACGGGAGGCAGCAGUGAGGAAUAUUGGUCAAUGGGGGCAACCCUGAACCAGCCAUGCCGCGUGCAGGAAGACGGCUCUAUGAGUUGUAAACUGCUUUUACACAGGGAUAAAGCACAGUAUGUAUACUGUGUUGAAGGUACUGUAAGAAUAAGGAUCGGCUAACUCCGUGCCAGCCGCCGCAGUAA